AGCUCCAAUAGCGUAUAUUAAAGUUGUUGCAGUUAAAAAGCUCGUAGUUGGAUUUGUGGUGUACUUCGGAGGCCCGUCACAAUGUGAUGGAGUUGACUGAAGUCGCCAUCCUUGGGUGGAUCCUGUGUGGCAUUAAGUUGUCGUGCAGGGGAUGCCCAUCGUUUACUGUGAAAAAAUUAGAGUGUUCAAAGCAGGCUUAUGCCGUUGAAUAUAUUAGCAUGGAAUAAUAAGAUAGGACCUUGGUACUAUUUUGUUGGUUUGCGCACCAAGGUAAUGAUUAAUAGGGACAGUUGGGGGUAUUCGUAUUUCAUUGUCAGAGGUGAAAUUCUUGGAUUUUUGAAAGACGAACUACUGCGAAAGCAUUUACCAAGGAUGUUUUCAUUAAUCAAGAACGAAAGUA
RNAcentral lists this ribosomal RNA (400 nucleotides) under phytoplankton environmental sample. RNAcentral describes it as "partial small subunit ribosomal RNA". It matches the Rfam family "Eukaryotic small subunit ribosomal RNA", at positions 587 to 991 of the family's 1831-position model. The record is from RNAcentral.